RNAcentral lists this unclassified non-coding RNA (245 nucleotides) under uncultured Virgaria. RNAcentral's name for it is "sequence contains ITS1". Lineage: Eukaryota; Fungi; Ascomycota. The record is from RNAcentral.
CAGAGUUGCAAAACUCCAAACCCAUGUGAACAUACCUCGUGUUGCCUCGGCGGCGAGCGUAGUGCUCGGGAGGUGCCUACCCGGUACCUACCCUUGAGCUACCCUGGAGCUUCCUACCCGGGAGCUGCACGGUACCUACCCUGGAGCUACCCGGUAGCUACCCUGGAGGACUUGCGCAUCCGCCGAAGGACCACUCAAACUCUUGUUUCUGUGUGGCACAUCUGAGUUAUUAUAUUAAUAAGUCA